UACGUAGGGUGCGAGCGUUAAUCGGAAUUACUGGGCGUAAAGCGUGCGCAGGCGGUGAUGUAAGACAGAUGUGAAAUCCCCGGGCUCAACCUGGGACCUGCAUUUGUGACUGCAUCGCUAGAGUACGGUAGAGGGGGAUGGAAUUCCGCGUGUAGCAGUGAAAUGCGUAGAUAUGCGGAGGAACACCGAUGGCGAAGGCAAUCCCCUGGACCUGUACUGACGCUCAUGCACGAAAGCGUGGGGAGCAAAC
RNAcentral lists this ribosomal RNA (250 nucleotides) under uncultured bacterium. RNAcentral's name for it is "partial 16S ribosomal RNA". It matches the Rfam family "Bacterial small subunit ribosomal RNA", at positions 524 to 773 of the family's 1533-position model. The record is from RNAcentral.